RNAcentral lists this non-coding RNA (100 nucleotides) under Firmicutes bacterium ASF500. Its description in RNAcentral is "Glycine riboswitch aptamer". It matches the Rfam family "Glycine riboswitch aptamer". From Rfam's summary of the family: This family represents the bacterial glycine riboswitch. RNAcentral also lists the same sequence under 1 other name. The record is from Rfam by way of RNAcentral. Lineage: Bacteria; Bacillati; Bacillota.
GGAUGUGGCUCUGGAGAAGCCCGGAAACGGGUACCGAAGGUGCAAGGCGGCGCGGAGACGCGCGGCUGAAUCUCUCAGGUAAAAGGACGGAGUGGAACGU